CUCAGUAGUAAUAGAUUCAACUUCAUCAUUUGAUAAAAACCUGGGGUUUUUUUGUUUAAGGUAAACAGAACAUGACAAAGUAUAUAUAUCAAGAAACAUUCAUGUUGAAAUUUAGGAAAGCUUGCAUGAAUGAAGUCCAAAAUCUUUAGAAUGACUCUCAUGACCAUUCAUUCUAUCACAUUUAAUUGCAAUGCAAUCUUUUAAAAUGUACAGUAUCUUUAAUUCCUUCUUUUUUUCUUUUUUAGGGCUGCCCCUGUGGCAUAUGGAAGUCCCAUCUAUUGGAGUAGGAGAUGAAAUCAGUGCUUCAGCUGAAGCCUAUGCCACAGCCAAGUACACUGGUUCUGAGCCAGCUGCACCCAUGACCUAUAGUGCUUUUUGCUUGGUUUGUCUGCUCUACCACUUUAAACUGCUCACAUCCUUCAAAAAGGCAGAUGACAAGAUAUAGGAAAAAGGCUACCUCUCAUUCGCCUUUAUAUUUCAGUGUCUCAUACUAUGCAAGGUAUGUAGGAAACCCUCAGUAAACAUUUCUUGAGUUGAAUUAAAUCAGUUCUCUAUCAGUGACAGCACUGGACUAAAUCCUACAACUCUUAAUUCCUAGAAUGGUAAAUUUCCCCAUUGUACCAACUUGCUUCCAAGUCCUCUGGCAGAAUGGGAAAAAAAAAAAAAUCAGUGAAGUUCUCUAUGCCUCAGUUUCCUGAAAACCAUCAUUCCUGGAUUCUCUCUGCGGAAUAAAGGCAUUUAAAUAGAGAAAGCAAUGAGAUCCUAACACAUACAAUUUUUUAAUUCUUUGAUCUUGCUUCCUAAUAUCUCAUUGAGCCAAGAAAUGUAUGCAUCAUGUAAAAUUCCCAUGACCACAAAAAGCUAAAGAACAUAUAUUUUAGUCAUUGUUAAAUCCAUUAUGUCUAUAAAUUAUACUGAUAUAUAAUUCCAAUCACUGCUUAAAUAUUUAUAAUAUUGGAUUCUAUUAUAUUCUGUUCUAUUGAUAGUUUCUAAAUCUCAUGUAAGGCAAUAAAAUCCUUUAUUACCAGACUUUAGUAGCUAAGUUAUUUGCUAUAUAGAUUCAAUUUCAAUUUUUUUCUCUUCAGAUUUCUUUAUCAGGGCAAAUAUUAUCAAAAUAAAAACAACACAAGGAAUACAGAGACCAAGCAAAUAUAUCCAUAUACAUCCAGAAAGUAUAAGUCUUUGAAUAUCCAGCAAUAGGAAAAUAAGUACAUUUUGAAUGCAUUCAGAUUAAUAAAAAUAUUUAUACAGACUUCUGGAAUUGGUGACAGUUUGAAUUGUUGCUCACUAGCUCUUAUAUAGAUAGCAUCACCACUAUAUUUCGUUCAGGCUAGAUUCUACAGCGACAGUGAGAAAGACAAAGGCCAAGCCUUGCUAGGGAUCUGUAUUUUCUAUUCCUCAUCCUGAACACUGACUACGCACAAAGAGUCUUGCCAUUCCUUCUCAGCAUUCUCAACUAAGUCAUCAAAACCCAUUCCUAGACAUAAUCUGAUACCAACUAUCUGUACUGUAUUAUUAAUUUAUAUUAUACUAUUAUCCCAGAGAAUAUUUGGUCCUUGAGUUCCACCUCUAAUACAAGAAAUACCUGGAAGUUCCCUUCAUGGUGCAGUGGAAACAAAUCUGACUAGUAUCCAUGAGGAUGUAGGUUUGAUCCCUGGCCUUGCUCAUUGGGGAUCCAAUGUUGCCGUGAGCUGUGGUGUAAUUCACAGAUGUGGCUUGGAUCCCAUGUUAUGGUACCUGCGGCGUAGGCUGGCAACUGUAGCUCCAAUUCAACCCCUAUCCCGGGAACUUCCAUAUGCCUUGGGUAUGGCCUUAAAAAAGCAAAAAAAAAAAAAAAAAAAAAAAAAAAAAANCUUGACAUACUUGAGGGAGUUGGGGCGUCCAAUUUCUAGAUGUACUCCCACAAUUCUCACUCAGGGCUAGGGAAAGCUAGUUGUGUUAGCAUUGUUAUUGCGAAGAUAGGUUAUCUCCUUUGGUCAAGAAGUAUUUAUUCAGUGUCUGUCAUGUGUCAAGCACUUCACUGUAUCAAGUGUACAGUCUAGUUAGGGUGAUAAAAGCAGAACACGUGAUCACUAUGCAAUGCAGGCAAUGCUAUGACAGGCAGGUGUGCAAUGCCCCACAAGUGGGAGACAGUCUGAUUCACUCAACAACAGGUAUUUAUUAAGAUCCAAAGUGAUAAGCAUUAUUCUAGGUGCCAAAUUUUUAUACUUUUUAAUUAGAAAAAUCUUCCAACAUAUGCCAAACAUUUUUUAUUUUUACAUUCACAGCAAUCUUUGUGUUGCUUCAGUCAGCAGAUUUGAAAUAUUGAAGUGCCAUCUAAUUGCUAUGUUAGUUUAGACAACUCUCAGAACUCCAGUGUUAAGGAAAUGGAGAGGUGAAAGAAAAAGGCUUAUUUUUUGACAUGUUUCUGCUGAUAUUUCCCAGAAUCAACAAUCAUUUCCACUCAAAAUAAAAUAUUUAUGUAAAAUAUAUAUUAGCUCUAGUUUCUGUAAUGCCUUAUUUUAUUGAUGAUAUCAUAGGAACAACAAUACAACACAGAUCUCUUCAGAAUGCCAGAAAGAAUUCCUUCUCACUGGCUCUUUUUGUAGGGAUCAAAUACCUACCAGUAGGUAUUAGGUUCUGCCUCCAGGAAUAGCAGGAUCUAUGGUCAGGGUGGGAGAUAAUGGCUGGUGUCAGUACACACACGCAUACACAUUUUAAAAAACUUUUAAAAUACACAAUGGAAUACUACUCAGCCAUAAAAAAGGAUGACAUAAUGCCAUUUGCAGCAACAUGGAUGGAACUAGAGAAUCUCAUACUGAGUGAAAUGAGCCAGAAAGACAAAGACAAAUACCAUAUGAUAUCACUCAUAACUGGAAUCUAAUAUCCAGCACAAAUGAACAUCUCCUCAGAAAAGAAAAUCAU
This 2904-nucleotide long non-coding RNA is filed under the name Sus scrofa (pig). Its description in RNAcentral is "lncRNA (ENSSSCG00065005204.1)". The record is from RNAcentral. Lineage: Eukaryota; Metazoa; Chordata; Mammalia; Artiodactyla; Suidae.